CUAUCUAGUUAUUCUAGAAUCUAUCAUUGUUCCUUUGAAGAAAUUCAACAUUUGCCUUACAACCAGAGAAUAAACAUCAGCUGCUAGAGAAAGCUAUUGAAUUUCAAAAUCCCUUUGAAAUGUCACAUUAACCUGUUUAACUUUCAGUCAGUUCUUUAAAAUAUCAAACAUUUCCUGAUGACUCCCAGAUCUAAGACUGCUUAUAUUUCUCUAACUUAAAAGUUUGUUUCCUUCACUUGCAAACCAACUGUGGUGAAUGAAUCAGCACUGUUUAGGCCUGGAAAAGUGGAUCACAGCUAUAAUCUGUGUGAGUCCUUCUACAGGUUUUCAAGCAUGACUGCACUCAUGGUCAUCAACAUGGAGGGGAACUGUGACAUCCCAGACUGACCUUCAGCUCAGAGGCUCAGGAGGUCAGUCCUAUUGGGUGACGAUGAUCGGAUUUCGUGAGAAUCCGACACAAAGGACUCAGAGGCAGAUCAAACCACCGAAAGCUCAGACUGUUAGACCACAGGGGUACCUUCCUGCGCGGCCUGCGGACACCGGCCGCACUUCGCCAGUCGGGCAGUGGCACAGCUUACGUGCAAGCGGCCCCAGCGCAUGUCUCAUAGAAUCAUGUCGGCAAGGCCAUCCCAACCUCUCUACUGAGCAGGCCCUACAGUCUCCGUGGCCUCGGGAAACAAGCUCCUACCCCACUCACUCGGGAGCGAACACCGGUGACCGGGGCUGCGCUGCGGACUUUUCUCCACGUUGA
RNAcentral lists this long non-coding RNA (751 nucleotides) under Canis lupus familiaris (dog). Its description in RNAcentral is "lncRNA (ENSCAFG00845018582.1)". The record is from RNAcentral. Lineage: Eukaryota; Metazoa; Chordata; Mammalia; Carnivora; Canidae.